This 451-nucleotide ribosomal RNA is filed under the name Streptomyces decoyicus. Its description in RNAcentral is "bacterial SSU rRNA". It matches the Rfam family "Bacterial small subunit ribosomal RNA", at positions 337 to 796 of the family's 1533-position model. The record is from RNAcentral. Lineage: Bacteria; Bacillati; Actinomycetota; Actinomycetes; Kitasatosporales; Streptomycetaceae.
GCCUACGGGGGGCUGCAGUGGGGAAUAUUGCACAAUGGGCGAAAGCCUGAUGCAGCGACGCCGCGUGAGGGAUGACGGCCUUCGGGUUGUAAACCUCUUUCAGCAGGGAAGAAGCGAAAGUGACGGUACCUGCAGAAGAAGCGCCGGCUAACUACGUGCCAGCAGCCGCGGUAAUACGUAGGGCGCGAGCGUUGUCCGGAAUUAUUGGGCGUAAAGAGCUCGUAGGCGGUCUGUCGCGUCGGAUGUGAAAGCCCGGGGCUUAACCCCGGGUGCUGCAUUCGAUACGGGCAGACUAGAGUGUGGUAGGGGAGACUCGGAAUUCCUGGUGUAGCGGUGAAAUGCGCAGAUAUCAGGAGGAACACCGGUGGCGAAGGCGGAUCUCUGGGCCAUUACUGACGCUGAGGAGCGAAAGCGUGGGGAGCGAACAGGAUUAGAUACCCCGGAGUAGUCC